GAGAUUUCCUUUCAUAUCCCUUCUCUCCUUCCACAAAGAUAAUCACUCUUUCUCUCUGUCACCCAGAGAAGGGCUGAGCUCUUGAGUCCCUUUAUUUCACAGUUUUGCUUCUCCCUGCGUUACCAUGGUAACAUGGAUACCGUUCAGUCCCGUCUUCAGUGAGAGGCAGGCAGCCUUUGCAGGUGGCUGUGCUUUCAUGCAAAGAAUGCUACAAAUGCAGCUCCUUCCAAACAACUGACUCCCGCUUGCCUGCCUCUCCUUCAGUGGGUGUGUGAUCUUCAUUACUGGUGAUAUUAAAGUGGCUUUUGUUAAUGGCUUAGGAUAACUAGCUGGCUGGGGAAAUCCAUGUUCGUACACAGGUCCAGAAAAACUAUCCAGGGGACUGUUGUGUCGUCCACCAUACGCGCCCUCCUGGGUGGCUUGCAGCUUUCACUCUUUUUCCCUUUCUCCCCCUUUCUCUUUCUCUCUCUCUAUCCAGGGCCUAAACCCAAGUUCCACAUCACAACAGCCACGGCCCAGACCUUAGUCGUGUGCAGAGCUCCUGGAGGCUGGCUGGAGGAAGAGGACUUGAUGAAAGUGUAUGGUAGUGGUUUCCUUGAUGGAAUGGAGCACGGAUGCACACCAGCACCCCAAGUUUCACUACUGUUGACAUUGGAGAGAAGCUGAGCAGAGCGGGACCCACAGAAGCCCUCAGUGGCAUGCCACGCGGGGUGUUUUUGGGGAUGAAAGAGGGCCGACCCUCCGCCUUGUGUCUGAGCCUCCAUAUGUACAGGCUGUACAAUAAUCUAACCCAGGGCCGGCAGACAUACAAGCCCUAAUCCCCAGUAUAGCUGGAUGAUUUUAUGGCGUAUUUACGGGGCCUCAAAGAGGAAGACAGGGAUCUCAUCACAUAUGAUUCAAAUUAACUGUGCUACAGGCACGUCUAACCCGAAGAACACUGAUUCUCAGAAAACGGGCUGAGGGAAUGAGUCAGGCGGACCAGAAUCACUGAUCUGUUGUGUUUAUCUUGAGCGUGCCUCAUCUUGCAUGGUUGUGUUUGGAAUGUCGAACAAUAGGGUGUUCAAUGUGCCUCUGAGUGAUAAUAGGUGUAAUUCCAACACAGGGGUACAGGGCUGCUGAGGGAUCUACUGUAGAAGGGGUUGGGGCUGCCCACCCUGGCCCAGUGAGUGUGGGAGGUCACAGACACUCAAAGAGAGCUGCAGAUCAUGAUGACAUGAACUGUGCCUCUUGGCAGACUUCCAGCGUGCUGUGAUAACACAUACCCACUACAAAAACAAAUGGGGGCACAUGACAUCAUGGAGUCCUGUCAACAACCUCCCUCUCUGCCUGCCCUUUGCUGUGGCUCACUGCUCUAUACACGGUGUACACUAGGAGUAGUAACACGUACCGUGCUUCACCAAGACCUACCUAACCUUUUACUGCAGUGGGCUAAAUCAGGGUCACACAGAGUGAUUCUUAAUAGUCAAACAAAAGUACACAACUCACACAAAAGAACACACCUUUACCCUGUCAAAUAUAGAGUUGAAAUGUAUCCAAUUUUGAGUUUUAAUCCCAAUAUUACACUUUAUAACAUCACAGAAGACUGAAAUAUAACAAAACUGUUUGACAUAGAAACACCACAUUUUUGUUGGGGUUUUUGAAAUCAUUUUUAUAAAAAAUUCCACCCAUGAGUCCAAAGAGGGCGCUUUUGGUCAUUGACUGCAUUAAAGGGCUACUAAGGAAAUCCUCCAUAAAGCAAUAUGGGUUUAAAACAACUAAAAUAAUAUAAUCCUACAGUUUCAGAUUCCUGAUAUCAAAACGCGGAGGACACCAGCCAAUGAACUCAUGGACAGGAAUGAAAAACAAGCCUACUAUGCAAUACAGUCAUGUAUACGGGAGCUCUGUUAGAGAAAUGAUGAGCUCCUAAAGUCGUCCCUUCCUCCUGGUUCUCUCCUCAGGGCUCAGAGCAGCAGAGUGAAGAGACUCACGCACGGCCUGCUGGGUCAGCUGCCUGGCGCCUGGCACUCCUACCAGCUCCAAUAACCAUAAACACAUGUUUACGAUCUAUCCCCUCAAACCUUACAUUCCAUACACUUCAAAGCCAUAUCUUCUGAGAGGGACUUUGUCCCAAAUGGCAACAUAUUCCCUACAUAUUAUACUACUUUUGACUAGAGCCCUUGGAACCUGGUCAAAAAUAGUGCACUAUGUAGGGAAUAGAGUACCUUUUGGGAUGCAGAUAACCCAAACAGU
Oncorhynchus tshawytscha (Chinook salmon) is the source of this 2229-nucleotide long non-coding RNA. The record is from Ensembl. NCBI's taxonomy places the organism in Eukaryota, Metazoa, Chordata, Actinopteri, Salmoniformes, Salmonidae.